Molecule: ribosomal RNA, 253 nt
Filed under: uncultured bacterium
Lineage: Bacteria
Description: partial 16S ribosomal RNA
Rfam family: Bacterial small subunit ribosomal RNA
Source: RNAcentral
UACAGGGGGUGCAAACGUUGCUCGGAAUUAUUGGGCGUAAAGCGCGCGUAGGCGGCUUCUUAAGUCGGAUGUGAAAGCCCCUGGCUCAACUGGGGAAGUGCACCCGAAACUGAGUGGCUUGAAUACAAAAGAGGGUCGCGGAAUUCCCGGUGUAGAGGUGAAAUUCGUAGAUAUCGGAAGGAACAUCAGUGGCGAAGGCGACUUCCUGGACCAAUACUGACGCUCAGGUGCGAAAGCGUGGGGAGCAAACAGG